GACGAACGCUGGCGGCGUGCCUAAUACAUGCAAGUCGAGCGAUGAAGAUGGGUGCUUGCACCAAUCUGAAGAGCAGCGAACGGGUGAGUAACGCGUGGGGAAUCUGCCUUUGAGCGGGGGAUAACAUUUGGAAACGAAUGCUAAUACCGCAUAACAACUUUAAACAUAAGUUCUAAGUGUGAAAGAUGCAACUGCAUCACUCAAAGAUGAUCCCGCGUUGUAUUAGCUAGAUGGUGAGGUAAACGCCCACCAAGGCGAGGAUACAGAGCCGACCUGAGAGGGUGGUCGGCCCCCUUUGGACUGUGACACGGCCCAAACCUCUACGGGGGGCAGCCGGAGGGGAACUUUGGCCAUUGGCGGAAGUCUUACCGAGCCACGCCCCGGUGGUGGAGAAGGGCUUCGGGUCGUUAAACUCUGUUUGUAGGGAAGAACGUGGGUGUGGGUGGAAAGCUCAGCAAGUGACGGUACCUACAGAGAAAGCACCGGCUAACUACGUG
RNAcentral lists this ribosomal RNA (497 nucleotides) under uncultured bacterium. Its description in RNAcentral is "partial 16S ribosomal RNA". It matches the Rfam family "Bacterial small subunit ribosomal RNA", at positions 28 to 507 of the family's 1533-position model. The record is from RNAcentral.